CGGGGCGUAGCGUAACCUGGUUAGCGCGCCUGCCUUGGGCGCAGGAGGUUGUGAGUUCGAAUCUCACCGCCCCGACCA
This 78-nucleotide transfer RNA is filed under the name Verrucomicrobiota bacterium. RNAcentral describes it as "tRNA-Pro". It matches the Rfam family "tRNA". Rfam says of the family: Transfer RNA (tRNA) molecules are approximately 80 nucleotides in length. Their secondary structure includes four short double-helical elements and three loops (D, anti-codon, and T loops). The record is from RNAcentral. Lineage: Bacteria; Pseudomonadati; Verrucomicrobiota. RNAcentral also lists the same sequence under 1 other name.